AGCAGCCGCGGUAAUUCCAGCUCCAAUAGCGUAUAUUAAAGUUGUUGCAGUUAAAAGCUCGUAGUUGAAUUUUGGGUCUGGCCGGGCGGUCCGCCCUCUGGGUGAGCACUGUUCCGACGCCGGGCCUAUCCUUCUGGUGAGUCGGCAUGUCCUUUAUUGGGUGUGCCGGGGAACCAGGACCAUUACCUUGAAAAAUUAGAGUGUUCAAAGCAGGCGUAUGCUCGGAUACAUUAGCAUGGAAUAAUGAAAUAGGACGCGUGGUGCUAUUUUGUUGGUUUCUAGGACCGCCGUAAUGAUUAAUAGGGAUAGUUGGGGGCAUUAGUAUUCAAUUGUCAGAGGUGAAAUUCUUGGAUUUAUUGAAGACUAACUUCUGCGAAAGCAUUUGCCAAGGAUGUUUUCAUUAAUCAAGAACGAAAGUUAGGGAUCGAAGACGAUCAGAUACCGUCGUAGUCUUAACCAUAAACUAUGCCGACUAGGAAUCGGGCGAUGUUAUCUCAUGACUCGCCCGGCGU
RNAcentral lists this unclassified non-coding RNA (512 nucleotides) under uncultured Glomus. RNAcentral describes it as "SSU rRNA". It matches the Rfam family "Eukaryotic small subunit ribosomal RNA", at positions 569 to 1086 of the family's 1831-position model. The record is from RNAcentral. Lineage: Eukaryota; Fungi; Glomeromycota; Glomeromycetes; Glomerales; Glomeraceae. RNAcentral also lists the same sequence under 1 other name.